UGGGGAAUUUUGGACAAUGGGGGCAACCCUGAUCCAGCCAUGCCGCGUGCGGGAAGAAGGCCUUCGGGUUGUAAACCGCUUUUGUCAGGGAAGAAAUCCCUUGGGCUAAUACCUCGGAGGGAUGACGGUACCUGAAGAAUAAGCACCGGCUAACUACGUGCCAGCAGCCGCGGUAAUACGUAGGGUGCAAGCGUUAAUCGGAAUUACUGGGCGUAAAGCGUGCGCAGGCGGUUAUGUAAGACAGAGGUGAAAUCCCCGGGCUCAACCUGGGAACUGCCUUUGUGACUGCAUGGCUAGAGUGCGGCAGAGGGGGAUGGAAUUCCGCGUGUAGCAGUGAAAUGCGUAGAUAUGCGGAGGAACACCGAUGGCGAAGGCAGCUCACUAAGCAGCGAUUGACGCUGAGGCACGAAAGCGUGGGGAUCAAGCA
RNAcentral lists this ribosomal RNA (427 nucleotides) under uncultured bacterium. RNAcentral describes it as "bacterial SSU rRNA". It matches the Rfam family "Bacterial small subunit ribosomal RNA", at positions 355 to 774 of the family's 1533-position model. The record is from RNAcentral.